CAACUGAGGCCUCCAUAACUUGGUUUUCCACAGAGAUACAUGUAAAACUAGCUAAAACUGGCCAGACUGAGGCGAACUACCAUUGUGGGCGGUCGAACCAGCACCAAAGCACGACAGUACCGCCGUGUCGGAACCCUAAAAUAUGCUGAAAAGGAUUUUCAACAUUAAUUUUAGAUUUUUGGGGUAUUUUUAGGUACGUAACGAGUAUUUU
This 211-nucleotide long non-coding RNA is filed under the name Carica papaya (papaya). RNAcentral's name for it is "long non-coding RNA (CPAP_LNC007699)". The record is from RNAcentral. Lineage: Eukaryota; Viridiplantae; Streptophyta; Magnoliopsida; Brassicales; Caricaceae.